Molecule: unclassified non-coding RNA, 1493 nt
Filed under: Hevea brasiliensis (rubber tree)
Lineage: Eukaryota; Viridiplantae; Streptophyta; Magnoliopsida; Malpighiales; Euphorbiaceae
Source: RNAcentral
CGCUAAUAAAUAUGUUUGUGUUAUUAUAAAUUGCUUCUAUUUUUAACCAUUGACAAGUUGCAUCACUCAGAAGAGCAACAGAACUACAAGCUUCAUAGUUUUAAUUACAAGCACAGGGAUGAAAUCUCAGCCAGGCAUUAUUUGCCAUUCUAAAAUGUACAUGACAUCAACUUUCAUAUAUUAUAGAAGUUGCCCCGAAAGGUAUCUAUAUCUGAUAAGAAAAGCCACAAAAUUCUAACUUCGCCUUGGCUUCAGGAGGGCUUAAUAAUGACAGGUCAAAAUUCACAGGAAUAGGGGCAUAUCGGAUGAGCACUGACCAAAAGUUCAACAUCUACAAUAAUCCAAGUGUUAAUAAUGGGCAUAAAAGUGCACUAUUCUGCAUAAUGCAAUAUCUCAAGGACGAGCUUCCUUGAAGCCAACAAUGGCUAUAGGGACAUCUGUACCUCUAAUGCAAAGCUGCUCAUACUCAGUUGACUGGCCCCUUGAGGUGCACCUUUCAGCUAAUUUCAGGCAAACACACCCAGUGAACAACAAAAUUCCAGACAGUAUCCAACUAAAUUGCAAAUUGGCCAGGGCCCUAGCCCUUAAGUCUGCAUCAAUAGAUCCGCAAGCGACUGCUCCAUGUAUGUCAUAAGUGCUGGUCUCAGGCAACUGAAUAGCACAACCCUUAGGUACAAAUCCAGGAAUCCAUAGCACAAACCCCAUGAUCAUAAACCAACAGCCUUGGAAUACAACAGAAAUCGAAAGAACAAGAGCUGCAGGAAAACUGGAUGGAAAACUAGUUGCAGCUAAAGCUGACACAAGGGACACAAACACUAUGAGCUGCAAAAGCCAAUGAUAAUGACCUUCAAGUCCAACAUGGUCAGUUGAGUGGAAAUGGAGCAGGAAAAGUUCUUGACAAAAAACAGAGGCUGCAAGUAUUCCGCUGACCCCAGAAAGGAUUUCAGAUGAAUGAGUUACCUCUGCAGAAAGUGUGAAACCUGCAAAUAUGGCAAGAUGAAGAAACAUGGUUGCAUGUUCAAAGUUGUCAAGCUUGAAAGCAAAGUGGAGGAAAGGGAAAUCUAAAAGUUGCAAAAAAAUUGCAAAGACAGAGAAAAACAGGAUGAAGAUAAGCUCCAAGUGUUUGAGUCGUGAAAGAGGGCUGUGAAAUGGGUACCAAAACUUCACAUUGAAGUUAGUAGAGCCUUUGAGGCAGUAGGCUCUGAUAGUGUUGAUGGUGUGCCAUAAUCCAAGGAGGAUUAAAGCCAAAGCAGGUAGAAUAUGCCCUGCAAAAGUGCCCAUGAAAGCUUCUCUAGUCAGUCUCCAUUGCAAUAGCCACCCAAAGCUUUAAAUACCAGAAGUAAAUGCAAAUACAUUGUGGCAGAAAAUAUUUCAAGCAACAGGAGUAUACUAUGGCAAUCUAUUCAAAAAUUGAGUGCAUGUUGCAUGUGUUCCCACAAAGGAAAAUGCAAGAAAAGACACAGCGUGUAACAAUGGGACAUCACAAAAGCCGC